ACCUGGCUGGCUCAGUUGGUGGAGCGUGUGGCUCUUGAUCUCCAGGUUGUGGGUUCAAGCCCCAUGUUGGGUG
RNAcentral lists this transfer RNA (73 nucleotides) under Canis lupus familiaris (dog). It matches the Rfam family "tRNA". From Rfam's summary of the family: Transfer RNA (tRNA) molecules are approximately 80 nucleotides in length. Their secondary structure includes four short double-helical elements and three loops (D, anti-codon, and T loops). RNAcentral also lists the same sequence under 1 other name. The record is from Rfam by way of RNAcentral. Lineage: Eukaryota; Metazoa; Chordata; Mammalia; Carnivora; Canidae.